RNAcentral lists this ribosomal RNA (153 nucleotides) under Ogataea wickerhamii. RNAcentral describes it as "partial 18S ribosomal RNA". It matches the Rfam family "Eukaryotic small subunit ribosomal RNA", at positions 1679 to 1831 of the family's 1831-position model. The record is from RNAcentral. Lineage: Eukaryota; Fungi; Ascomycota; Pichiomycetes; Pichiales; Pichiaceae.
CCUGUACGAUUGAUGGCUUAGUGAGGCUUCAAGAUUGGCUCAGAGAAGGGGGCAACUCCAUCUUGGAACUGAGAAUUUAGUCAAACUUGGUCAUUUAGAGGAACUAAAAGUCGUAACAAGGUUUCCGUAGGUGAACCUGCGGAAGGAUCAUUA